AAACGAUGCCAACCAGUAAUUCGCCUGAGUUCUUUAAAUGACUCGGCGAGGGACUUCCGGGAAACCAAAAUCUUUCGGUUCCAGGGGAAGUAUGGUUGCAAAGCUGAAACUUAAAGAAAUUGACGGAAGGGCACCACCAGGAGUGGAGCCUGCGGCUUAAUUUGACUCAACACGGGAAAACUUACCCGGCCCGGACACUGGCAGGAUUGACAGAUUGAGAGCUCUUUCUUGAUUCAGUGGGUGGUGGUGCAUGGCCGUUCUUAGUUGGUGGAGCGAUUUGUCUGGUUAAUUCCGAUAACGAACGAGACUCUAGCCUACUAAAUAGGCCACCGGCUUACAUACGUCGGUGGGACUUCUUAGAGGGACAGGCGGCGAUUCAGCCGCACGAAACAGAGCAAUAACAGGUCUGUGAUGCCCUUAGAUGUCCGGGGCCGCACGCGCGCUACACUGAAGUGAUCAGCGUGCAUUUUCCACCUGCUCCGUCAGGAGUGGGGAACCCAAUGAACCUUCUUCGUGAUUGGGAUAGGGGAUUGUAAUUAUUCCCCUUGAACGAGGAAUUCCCAGUAAGCGCGAGUCAUAAGCUCGCGUUGAUUACGUCCCUGCCCUUUGUACACACCGCCCGUCGCUACUACCGAUUGAA
Molecule: ribosomal RNA, 640 nt
Filed under: uncultured eukaryote
Lineage: Eukaryota
Description: SSU rRNA
Rfam family: Eukaryotic small subunit ribosomal RNA
Source: RNAcentral